RNAcentral lists this small nuclear RNA (177 nucleotides) under Suricata suricatta (meerkat). RNAcentral describes it as "U2 spliceosomal RNA (ENSSSUG00005020932.1)". It matches the Rfam family "U2 spliceosomal RNA". From Rfam's summary of the family: U2 is a small nuclear RNA (snRNA) component of the spliceosome (involved in pre-mRNA splicing). Complementary binding between U2 snRNA (in an area lying towards the 5' end but 3' to hairpin I) and the branchpoint sequence (BPS) of the intron results the bulging out of an unpaired adenosine, on the BPS, which initiates a nucleophilic attack at the intronic 5' splice site, thus starting the first of two transesterification reactions that mediate splicing. Lineage: Eukaryota; Metazoa; Chordata; Mammalia; Carnivora; Herpestidae. The record is from Rfam by way of RNAcentral.
AUCGCUUCUCGGCCUUUUGGCUAAGAUCAAGUGUAGUAUCUGUUCUUAUCAGUUUAGGAAUAUUCCUCCAGGUUGCAUUCUAACAAGGGAAAAUGUAGCCCCUGGCCCUCAGAUGCCAGGGUUGUGCCCAACUAAUUAGGUCUCUUGAUAAGCCUUUUGUAUUAUCUGGGAGCUUUG